RNAcentral lists this ribosomal RNA (520 nucleotides) under Pseudofusicoccum kimberleyense. RNAcentral describes it as "eukaryotic LSU rRNA". The stretch from base 195 to 348 matches the Rfam family "5.8S ribosomal RNA". Lineage: Eukaryota; Fungi; Ascomycota; Dothideomycetes; Botryosphaeriales; Botryosphaeriaceae. The record is from RNAcentral.
GGAAGGAUCAUUACCGAGUUUUGGGUCUCUUCACCGAGCCCACUCUCCAACCCUUUGUGUACCUACCUCUGUUGCUUUGGCGGGCCGCGGUUCUCCGCGGCCGGCCCCCUAGCCGGGGCUGGCCUGCGCCCGCCAGAGGGCCACAAAACUCCAGUCAGUGAACUUUGCUGUCUGAUAUAAAUUCAAUAAACUAAAACUUUCAACAACGGAUCUCUUGGUUCUGGCAUCGAUGAAGAACGCAGCGAAAUGCGAUAAGUAAUGUGAAUUGCAGAAUUCAGUGAAUCAUCGAAUCUUUGAACGCACAUUGCGCCCUUUGGUAUUCCGAAGGGCAUGCCUGUUCGAGCGUCAUUACACCCCUCAAGCUCUGCUUGGUAUUGGGCAGCGUCCUCUCGGACGCGCCUCAAAGACCUCGGCGGUGGCGUCUUGCCUCAAGCGUAGUAGAAAACACCUCGCUUUGGAGGACGGGACGACCGCUCGCCGGACGAACCUUUGAAUUCAUUUUCCUAGGUUGACCUCGGAU